RNAcentral lists this long non-coding RNA (657 nucleotides) under Capra hircus (goat). RNAcentral's name for it is "lncRNA (ENSCHIG00010014479.1)". Lineage: Eukaryota; Metazoa; Chordata; Mammalia; Artiodactyla; Bovidae. The record is from RNAcentral.
UAGCUCUUAUUUCCCAGUUACCUCUUGGCCCUGGGUCUUAAAAGAGCCAUCCCUUUAUAAAGAAACUUUAAUUAAGUGCUCCCCGGAGGCCAUCUGACGGCAUAUUUGAGCUAUUUAAUUCAGUUGAGCAAACACUUAAGCCAAGAACUGAGUGAGGUCAGAGAAAGAGGUGAAGGGCACUGGCUUCUGCGGCUGCACAGUAGGAAUGAAGACCGUGCAGAGACGCCAGGAGUACACGGCAAGAGAGAAGCCUGUAAAUGAAUGAGACCUAGAACAGUCAAGGAUGGAAGGAGAGAGCUAAGUCAGGAAGAUACCACGGAUAAGAUUGAAGGUGUCCUGGUUUUACAGGAAGAUCACUGGUGACUUUGCCCUCAAGUGCCUGGCAGAAAUGGAAGCAGAUGGCAAGGGGCUCUGAUUCCUGGAACACGUGGCGCCCUCCCCCCACCUGAGAGAACACAAUUGGCACAGCACGAGUUGCCCAACCCAGUGUGGAAAGGGCUGCGAUUACCAGAACCCUUAAGGAAGCCCCACUCCACGGUGUCCACAACAGGAUACAGCUGCCAGCACUUAGCCGGCCACCAACCCUCAGGGUCACGGGGAGGCCCACCUGACAAGCUGAGAAGCUGGCCUGGAGCUACAAUUUCAACUGUGCUGUAA